UGAUACUGUUAUUCUUGAGUACGGUCAAGGUAGGGGGAUGGUAAUGUAGCGUGGAAUGCUAUAAUACCAGAACCCAUUGCGAAGGCAGCUUACUGGGCAUUACUGACGCUGAUGCACGAAGGCGUGGGGAGCGAACAGGAUUAGAUACCCUGGUAGUCCACGCNGUAAACGAUGAUCACUCGCUGUUUGCGAUACACAGGUAGCGGNUAAGCAAAGGCAUUUAGUGAUCCACCUGGGGAGUACGGCCGCAAGGCUGAAACUCAAAGGAAUUGACGGGGGCCCGCACAAGCGGAGGGACAUGUGGUUUAAUUCGAUGAUACGCGAGGGACCUUACCUGGGCUUAAAUGCAGAGUGCAUGAGGUAGAAAUACUUCUUUCCUUCGGGACUCUUUGCAAGGUGCUGCAUGGUUGUCGUCAGCUCGUGCCGUGAGGUGUCGGGUUAAGUCCCAUAACGAGCGCAACCCUUAUCGUUAGUUGCCAGCGGGUAAUGCCGGGAACUCUAACGAAACUGCCGGUGUAAACCGUGAGGAAGGUGGGGAUGACGUCAAAUCAGCACGGCCCUUAUGUCCAGGGCUACACACGUGUUACAAUGGCCGGUACAGAGGGCAGCUACCUGGAGACAGGAUGCGAAUCUCCAAAGCCGGUCUCAGUUCGGAUCGGAGUCUGCAACUCGACUCCGUGAAGCUGGAUUCGCUAGUAAUCGCGCAUCAGCCAUG
RNAcentral lists this ribosomal RNA (715 nucleotides) under uncultured bacterium. RNAcentral's name for it is "bacterial SSU rRNA". It matches the Rfam family "Bacterial small subunit ribosomal RNA", at positions 628 to 1357 of the family's 1533-position model. The record is from RNAcentral.